This 311-nucleotide long non-coding RNA is filed under the name Gossypium barbadense (sea-island cotton). RNAcentral describes it as "long non-coding RNA (GBAR_LNC006466)". The record is from RNAcentral. Lineage: Eukaryota; Viridiplantae; Streptophyta; Magnoliopsida; Malvales; Malvaceae.
AAUGACCGAACCAUUAAUCAUGCUUAUGGCCGAUUAUCAUAUUAACACGAGACACACAAACAUCAUUAUCCAAGUAUGCUAAUAUAUCACACCAUCAACUAAAUCAUACAUAUAGAAACAUAAAAUUCAUUUGACCUAUUAUACUUUCAUGUGCACAUUUUUAACCAUAUAGCCAACACCUUAAUAAACAAUUUAAAUACAUAUCACCUACCAAUUCACAUCUCUAAAAUCCUCGAUACAAUCAUUUUUUUUAUCAUAGCUGAAUGUCACAAAACAAGGCAUCCAAAAUCUCAAAUCACUUUAUAUAAUCC